AACGAACGCUGGCGGCGUGCUUAACACAUGCAAGUCGAACGAUGAAGCUGGAGCUUGCCCCGGUGGAUUAGUGGCGAACGGGUGAGUAACACGUGAGCAAUCUGCCCUUGACUCUGGGAUAACUGCGGGAAACUGUAGCUAAUACCGGAUACUUUCACUGGAAGGCAUCUUCUGGUGAAGAAAGAAUUUCGGUCAAGGAUGAGCUCGCGGCCUAUCAGCUUGUUGGUGAGGUAACGGCUCACCAAGGCGACGACGGGUAGCCGGCCUGAGAGGGGGAGCGGCCAAACUGGGACUGAGACACGGCCCAGACUCCUACGGGAGGCAGCAGUGGGGAAUAUUGCACAAUGGGCGCAAGCCUGAUGCAGCAACGCCGCGUGAGGGAUGAAGGCCUUCGGGUUGUAAACCUCUUUUAGCAGGGAAGAAGCGAAAGUGACGGUACCUGCAGAAAAAGCACCGGCUAACUACGUGCCAGCCGCCGCAGUAA
Molecule: ribosomal RNA, 484 nt
Filed under: uncultured bacterium
Lineage: Bacteria
Description: partial 16S ribosomal RNA
Rfam family: Bacterial small subunit ribosomal RNA
Source: RNAcentral